Molecule: long non-coding RNA, 706 nt
Organism: Meriones unguiculatus (Mongolian gerbil)
Lineage: Eukaryota; Metazoa; Chordata; Mammalia; Rodentia; Muridae
Exons: 4
Source: RefSeq, a predicted model, not a curated record
GAGAGGACCUCCUGGCUUCCUGACCCCAUGAUCUGAUGUGUGAAAGUUACAAAUGGCCCUGGAUUAUUGAAUUGAACUGCAUCAAAUCCACAAGUAGUUCCAUCCAUUUGCCUGCAAAUUUCAUGAUUUCCUUGAUGGAGUCAAUUGGCAGCUCAGUCUCCGUGUGGAAUUUCUGAGCCGUAUGCUAUGAAGAAUGGCUAUGAAGACCCUGCAUCACCUUACAGGGGACAGGGGAAUAAAAGACUAGUUCUGGAAAAGCCAUAGUAUAUAGCCAUGAUGAUCUAAGAACACAAGCAGGGGAAUACACCCCUCAACGGUCUUCAGCAGAAGAACGCUUUGGCCGGAUUUUCACUGUGACUAGAACAUUCUGACCACUGCAUGGCACAUAGGGACCAGGAGGCAGAGGCUGAAGGGGAAGCCGAAUCAGACCAUUGUAACUACUUGGAUUUAAAAAAAAAAAUCACUAAAAACCUGAUUCAAAUUACUGGCAGUAGGAAUAUUUUGAGAUUGAAAAAGGUGGAGUUAAAGCAUUGAUAGAGUUGAUUUUAUAAAAAAAAAUUAAAAAGGGUGUGUUGCAGAAAAAUAUAAAAUUGAGAAACAGGGCUGAAUAGACAACUCAGUCUAUAAACUGCCUACUGUGCAAACAUGAGGAUGGGUCUGACUUCAGUGCCGAGAGCUGUCAUAAAAAAUCCAGAUGUGGGUUAGA